Molecule: ribosomal RNA, 201 nt
Filed under: uncultured bacterium
Lineage: Bacteria
Description: partial 16S ribosomal RNA
Rfam family: Bacterial small subunit ribosomal RNA
Source: RNAcentral
ACGCUCGACACCUACUGGAGGCAGCAGUGGGGAAUAUUGGGCAAUGGGCGCAAGCCUGACCCAGCAACGCCGCGUGAAGGAAGAAGGCCCUCGGGUUGUAAACUUCUUUUAACAGGGACGAAGGAAGUGACGGUACCUGUUGAAUAAGCCACGGCUAACUACGUGCCAACAGCCGCGGUAAUCUGAGCGGGCUGGCAAGGC